GCGCCCAUAGCUCAGCUGGAUAGAGCAUCGGCCUUCGAAGCCGAGGGUCGGGGGUUCGAAUCCCUCUGGGCGCG
Molecule: transfer RNA, 74 nt
Filed under: Myxococcaceae bacterium
Lineage: Bacteria; Pseudomonadati; Myxococcota; Myxococcia; Myxococcales; Myxococcaceae
Description: tRNA-Arg
Rfam family: tRNA
About the family: Transfer RNA (tRNA) molecules are approximately 80 nucleotides in length. Their secondary structure includes four short double-helical elements and three loops (D, anti-codon, and T loops). Further hydrogen bonds mediate the characteristic L-shaped molecular structure. tRNAs have two regions of fundamental functional importance: the anti-codon, which is responsible for specific mRNA codon recognition, and the 3' end, to which the tRNAs corresponding amino acid is attached (by aminoacyl-tRNA synthetases). tRNAs cope with the degeneracy of the genetic code in two manners: having more than one tRNA (with a specific anti-codon) for a particular amino acid; and 'wobble' base-pairing, i.e. permitting non-standard base-pairing at the 3rd anti-codon position.
Source: RNAcentral